AUACGAAGGGUGCUAGCGUUGUUCGGAAUUACUGGGCGUAAAGAGCAUGUAGGCGGAUAGAUUAGUCAGAGGUGAAAGCCCCGAGCUCAACUCGGGAACUGCCUUUGAUACUGUUUAUCUAGAGACCGAGAGAGGUGAGUGGAAUUCUCAGUGUAGAGGUGAAAUUCGUAGAUAUUGGGAAGAACACCAGUGGCGAAGGCGGCUCACUGGCUCGGAACUGACGCUGAGAUGCGAAAGCGUGGGGAGCGAACAGGAUUAGAUACCCUAGUAGUCC
This 274-nucleotide ribosomal RNA is filed under the name uncultured bacterium. RNAcentral's name for it is "partial 16S ribosomal RNA". It matches the Rfam family "Bacterial small subunit ribosomal RNA", at positions 523 to 796 of the family's 1533-position model. The record is from RNAcentral.